RNAcentral lists this ribosomal RNA (279 nucleotides) under uncultured soil bacterium. RNAcentral describes it as "partial 16S ribosomal RNA". It matches the Rfam family "Bacterial small subunit ribosomal RNA", at positions 26 to 286 of the family's 1533-position model. The record is from RNAcentral.
AGAACGAACGCUGGCGGCGUGGAUUAGGCAUGCAAGUCGAACGCGAAAGAGGGAGCAAUCCCUCGACGUAGAGUGGCGAACGGGUGAGUAACGCGUGAAGAACCUGCCUUCAACAGGGGGAUAACACUCCCAACGGGGUGCUAAUACCGCAUGAGACCACGGGAUCGCAUGGUCCUGAGGUCAAAGGUGGCCUCUAUUUAUAAGCUACCGGUUGAAGAUGGCUUCGCGUCCCAUUAGCUAGUUGGCGGUGUAAAAGCCACCAAGGCGACGAGUGGGUAG